This 561-nucleotide ribosomal RNA is filed under the name Rhizobium sp. BYG5. RNAcentral's name for it is "bacterial SSU rRNA". It matches the Rfam family "Bacterial small subunit ribosomal RNA", at positions 89 to 685 of the family's 1533-position model. The record is from RNAcentral. Lineage: Bacteria; Pseudomonadati; Pseudomonadota; Alphaproteobacteria; Hyphomicrobiales; Rhizobiaceae.
AGGGGAGCGGCAGACGGGUGAGUAACGCGUGGGAAUCUACCUUUUGCUACGGAAUAACGCAGGGAAACUUGUGCUAAUACCGUAUGUGUCCUUCGGGAGAAAGAUUUAUCGGCAAGAGAUGAGCCCGCGUUGGAUUAGCUAGUUGGUGGGGUAAAGGCCUACCAAGGCGACGAUCCAUAGCUGGUCUGAGAGGAUGAUCAGCCACAUUGGGACUGAGACACGGCCCAAACUCCUACGGGAGGCAGCAGUGGGGAAUAUUGGACAAUGGGCGCAAGCCUGAUCCAGCCAUGCCGCGUGAGUGAUGAAGGCCCUAGGGUUGUAAAGCUCUUUCACCGGAGAAGAUAAUGACGGUAUCCGGAGAAGAAGCCCCGGCUAACUUCGUGCCAGCAGCCGCGGUAAUACGAAGGGGGCUAGCGUUGUUCGGAAUUACUGGGCGUAAAGCGCACGUAGGCGGAUCGAUCAGUCAGGGGUGAAAUCCCAGGGCUCAACCCUGGAACUGCCUUUGAUACUGUCGAUCUGGAGUAUGGAAGAGGUGAGUGGAAUUCCGAGUGUAGAGGUGAA